This is a long non-coding RNA of Equus caballus (horse), 635 nucleotides long. RefSeq lists it as uncharacterized. Lineage: Eukaryota; Metazoa; Chordata; Mammalia; Perissodactyla; Equidae. The record is from RefSeq and is a predicted model, not a curated record.
GCUCUCCUCCGCGCUGCUUCUGAGCUCUCCUCCGCGCUGUGUGUCCCAGGCUCCCGAGGACGCUGGGCUGGGUCCGGGCUCUCCGGUCCUACCGACUUCUGGGCGUCUGCCUCCGCUGGCCCUUUAUCUCCAGCCGUGGUCUUCCCCUUUUCUUCUCUUCGGGCCCGGGUCCAGCUCCUCCUUUUCCUCCUGCGACCCAAGCAUCUUGACCUGGCGUCACCCACGGCACUGUCUCCAUGAAUCAUAGGUCCCAAACUCCAUCGUCUUGGAGAGGGCAGGACUCGGCAGUGCUCACAGGAGGUUGGGCCACCAAGGGAAGCUCCUACUUCAGGAUUUGAGCCCAAUCAUUUACAGCUAAUGAAGGGCUUUGGGCUCCACUGUGUGAUUGAAUUCUGAGCUACCUGUGAGGAACCCAGACUCAGAGGUGACUGCCUUGCCCAGGGUCACACAGUGACCCACGGGGUUGUCAGGAAUGGGCCUGGUGUGGCUGAAGAAGGAGACCCCACCUGUCAAGACUGCUCAGAGUGGGCAGCUGGUUACGUUUCCUAGCCCUGUUCUUGAAGCCCUUCCGUCUCUCUCUAACCAUCAGGGUCACUCUGUCCCCAGGUUGUCACAAGAAACUAUUGGAGCUACUA